GGCCUUCGGGCCUGGGGACAGCGGCGAACGGGUGAGUAACACGUGGGUAAUCAACCCUCGACACUGGGAUAGCCCGGGGAAACCCGGAUUAAUACCGGAUGGCCCUUUGGACCCUCGGAUCUGAAGGAAAAGGUAGCUUCGGCCUCCGGUCGAGGACGAGCCCGCGGCGGAUUAGCUUGUUGGUGAGGUAACGGCUCACCAAGGCUACGAUCCGUAGCUGGUCUGAGAGGACGAUCAGCCACACUGGGACUGAGACACGGCCCAGACUCCUACGGGAGGCAGCAGUGGGGAAUCUUGCGCUAAUGCGGGAAACCGUGACGCAGCGACGCCGCGUGAGGGAAGAAGGCCUUCGGGUUGUAAACCUCUUUCAGGAGGGACGAAGCCACUCGGGUUAAUAGCCCAGAGGGUGACGGUACCUCCAGAAGAAGCCCCGGCUAACUACGUGCCAGCAGCCGCGGUAAUACGUAGGGGGCAAGCGUUGUCCGGAUUUAUUGGGCGUAAAGAGCGUGUAGGCGGCUAGGUAGGUCCGUUGUGAAAACUCGAGGCUCAACCUCGAGACGCCGGUGGAAACCAUCUAGCUAGAGUCCGGAAGAGGAGAGUGGAAUUCCUGGUGUAGCGGUGAAAUGCGCAGAUAUCAGGACGAACACCCGUGGCGAAGGCGGCUCUCUGGUACGUGACUGACGCUGAGACGCGAAAGCGUGGGGAGCGAACAGGAUUAGAUACCCUGGUAGUCCACGCUGUAAACGAUGGGUGCUAGGUGUGGGCGGUGUCGACUCCGUCCGUGCCGAAGCUAACGCA
RNAcentral lists this ribosomal RNA (798 nucleotides) under uncultured Actinomycetes bacterium. RNAcentral's name for it is "bacterial SSU rRNA". It matches the Rfam family "Bacterial small subunit ribosomal RNA", at positions 75 to 859 of the family's 1533-position model. The record is from RNAcentral. Lineage: Bacteria; Bacillati; Actinomycetota; Actinomycetes.